UUAAGCGACUAAGCGUACACGGUGGAUGCCCUGGCAGUCAGAGGCGAUGAAGGACGUGCUAAUCUGCGAUAAGCGUCGGUAAGGUGAUAUGAACCGUUAUAACCGGCGAUUUCCGAAUGGGGAAACCCAGUGUGUUUCGACACACUAUCAUUAACUGAAUCCAUAGGUUAAUGAGGCGAACCGGGGGAACUGAAACAUCUAAGUACCCCGAGGAAAAGAAAUCAACCGAGAUUCCCCCAGUAGCGGCGAGCGAACGGGGAGCAGCCCAGAGCCUGAAUCAGUGUGUGUGUUAGUGGAAGCGUCUGGAAAGGCGCGCGAUACAGGGUGACAGCCCCGUACACAAAAAUGCACAUGCUGUGAGCUCGAUGAGUAGGGCGGGACACGUGGUAUCCUGUCUGAAUAUGGGGGGACCAUCCUCCAAGGCUAAAUACUCCUGACUGACCGAUAGUGAACCAGUACCGUGAGGGAAAGGCGAAAAGAACCCCGGCGAGGGGAGUGAAAAAGAACCUGAAACCGUGUACGUACAAGCAGUGGGAGCACGCUUAGGCGUGUGACUGCGUACCUUUUGUAUAAUGGGUCAGCGACUUAUAUUCUGUAGCAAGGUUAACCGAAUAGGGGAGCCGAAGGGAAACCGAGUCUUAACUGGGCGUUAAGUUGCAGGGUAUAGACCCGAAACCCGGUGAUCUAGCCAUGGGCAGGUUGAAGGUUGGGUAACACUAACUGGAGGACCGAACCGACUAAUGUUGAAAAAUUAGCGGAUGACUUGUGGCUGGGGGUGAAAGGCCAAUCAAACCGGGAGAUAGCUGGUUCUCCCCGAAAGCUAUUUAGGUAGCGCCUCGUGAAUUCAUCUCCGGGGGUAGAGCACUGUUUCGGCAAGGGGGUCAUCCCGACUUACCAACCCGAUGCAAACUGCGAAUACCGGAGAAUGUUAUCACGGGAGACACACGGCGGGUGCUAACGUCCGUCGUGAAGAGGGAAACAACCCAGACCGCCAGCUAAGGUCCCAAAGUCAUGGUUAAGUGGGAAACGAUGUGGGAAGGCCCAGACAGCCAGGAUGUUGGCUUAGAAGCAGCCAUCAUUUAAAGAAAGCGUAAUAGCUCACUGGUCGAGUCGGCCUGCGCGGAAGAUGUAACGGGGCUAAACCAUGCACCGAAGCUGCGGCAGCGACGCUUAUGCGUUGUUGGGUAGGGGAGCGUUCUGUAAGCCUGUGAAGGUGUGCUGUGAGGCAUGCUGGAGGUAUCAGAAGUGCGAAUGCUGACAUAAGUAACGAUAAAGCGGGUGAAAAGCCCGCUCGCCGGAAGACCAAGGGUUCCUGUCCAACGUUAAUCGGGGCAGGGUGAGUCGACCCCUAAGGCGAGGCCGAAAGGCGUAGUCGAUGGGAAACAGGUUAAUAUUCCUGUACUUGGUGUUACUGCGAAGGGGGGACGGAGAAGGCUAUGUUGGCCGGGCGACGGUUGUCCCGGUUUAAGCGUGUAGGCUGGUUUUCCAGGCAAAUCCGGAAAAUCAAGGCUGAGGCGUGAUGACGAGGCACUACGGUGCUGAAGCAACAAAUGCCCUGCUUCCAGGAAAAGCCUCUAAGCAUCAGGUAACAUCAAAUCGUACCCCAAACCGACACAGGUGGUCAGGUAGAGAAUACCAAGGCGCUUGAGAGAACUCGGGUGAAGGAACUAGGCAAAAUGGUGCCGUAACUUCGGGAGAAGGCACGCUGAUAUGUAGGUGAAGUCCCUCGCGGAUGGAGCUGAAAUCAGUCGAAGAUACCAGCUGGCUGCAACUGUUUAUUAAAAACACAGCACUGUGCAAACACGAAAGUGGACGUAUACGGUGUGACGCCUGCCCGGUGCCGGAAGGUUAAUUGAUGGGGUUAGCGCAAGCGAAGCUCUUGAUCGAAGCCCCGGUAAACGGCGGCCGUAACUAUAACGGUCCUAAGGUAGCGAAAUUCCUUGUCGGGUAAGUUCCGACCUGCACGAAUGGCGUAAUGAUGGCCAGGCUGUCUCCACCCGAGACUCAGUGAAAUUGAACUCGCUGUGAAGAUGCAGUGUACCCGCGGCAAGACGGAAAGACCCCGUGAACCUUUACUAUAGCUUGACACUGAACAUUGAGCCUUGAUGUGUAGGAUAGGUGGGAGGCUUUGAAGUGUGGACGCCAGUCUGCAUGGAGCCGACCUUGAAAUACCACCCUUUAAUGUUUGAUGUUCUAACGUUGACCCGUAAUCCGGGUUGCGGACAGUGUCUGGUGGGUAGUUUGACUGGGGCGGUCUCCUCCUAAAGAGUAACGGAGGAGCACGAAGGUUGGCUAAUCCUGGUCGGACAUCAGGAGGUUAGUGCAAUGGCAUAAGCCAGCUUGACUGCGAGCGUGACGGCGCGAGCAGGUGCGAAAGCAGGUCAUAGUGAUCCGGUGGUUCUGAAUGGAAGGGCCAUCGCUCAACGGAUAAAAGGUACUCCGGGGAUAACAGGCUGAUACCGCCCAAGAGUUCAUAUCGACGGCGGUGUUUGGCAC
This 2496-nucleotide ribosomal RNA is filed under the name human gut metagenome. RNAcentral describes it as "bacterial LSU rRNA". It matches the Rfam family "Bacterial large subunit ribosomal RNA", at positions 1 to 2524 of the family's 2925-position model. The record is from RNAcentral.